GCUCCCAUGGCGUAGUGGUCACUGCGCUCGCCUUGCACGCGGGAGACCCGGGUUCGAUUCCUAGCGGGGUCA
RNAcentral lists this transfer RNA (72 nucleotides) under Diaphorina citri (Asian citrus psyllid). It matches the Rfam family "tRNA". Rfam says of the family: Transfer RNA (tRNA) molecules are approximately 80 nucleotides in length. Their secondary structure includes four short double-helical elements and three loops (D, anti-codon, and T loops). Lineage: Eukaryota; Metazoa; Arthropoda; Insecta; Hemiptera; Psyllidae. The record is from Rfam by way of RNAcentral.